This 253-nucleotide ribosomal RNA is filed under the name uncultured bacterium. RNAcentral's name for it is "partial 16S ribosomal RNA". It matches the Rfam family "Bacterial small subunit ribosomal RNA", at positions 524 to 776 of the family's 1533-position model. The record is from RNAcentral.
UACAGAGGUCUCAAGCGUUGUUCGGAUUCAUUGGGCGUAAAGGGUGUGUAGGUGGCGCCGUAAGUCGGGUGUGAAAUCUCGGAGCUUAACUCCGAAACUGCAUUCGAUACUGCCGUGCUUGAGGACUGGAGAGGAGACUGGAAUUUACGGUGUAGCGGUGAAAUGCGUAGAUAUCGUAAGGAAGACCAGUGGCGAAGGCGGGUCUCUGGACAGUUCCUGACGCUGAGGCACGAAGGCCAGGGGAGCAAACGGG